ACUUUAUUGGAAGGCAUUCUGAUUUAAUUGUGGAGCUCCGACUCCGCUAAACGCUUCUCCGGUGCAUGCUGGAUUAAUAACCGAGACCCUUAACGUUCGCAGUAUCCAAUCAGCGCUGUCAAUGCAAGUGGUUGACCGUGGCGAUGCUACGAGCGAGGCUAGACAGGCAGUAUGGCGGAGGAGGGCAGUGUGUACGAGUUAGAGGGGCUCAAAAAACAAUUAGAGAGUUUGUUGACCCGCUACUCAAGUGAUGAAUUGCGAGCCAAUAGUGAACUGUUCUGCUCCGACUUUUGCAAGCUGGUGGAAGAGUAUGCCUCUCGCUGGCAGGUGCCGCUGCCUCAGCUCAGGAUCCUUGAGAUAUCUCUCUGCUAUUUCGCUCGAGCCUGCACCUUCUUUCCAUCAAACUGUGAUCAUGUGCUCCACACACUCAGUAGUCUGGCUUUGAGUCUUUUUGAGUUGCUGCUGUUCUUUGACCAGAAGGACUUCCAUCAGGAGCCACUGAAACAGUUCACCGUUACAUUCCAGGAAUGUCACCAGUUGGCCCUUGGUGAGCUUCAGAAUGUCCACUUACUUCAGGUGGAGCGUUUGGUUCGGGGCGGCGGGCCCUGGGCCGUCCCAGCCUUACAGGCAAUCCUCAGUGAGUCCAAUUUACCUCAGAGUGAAGUGGAUGGGUGCAUCACCUCCGAGAUGCCGGUGUUCUUUGAGCUCCGGGUGCACUACCUGUUAUCCUGUGAGCGGGUCAGUGAGGCUAUGGCCCUGGCUAAGUGUUGUGCUCGGAAUCCCACAGCAGGACAACACUUGUUCUUCCUCCAGGUCUACCUCACGUGGCUUUUGAAAACUUCACAGCAUGACCGCCUACAUAAAGAGGUGGCUGAUUUAAAUGGUAAAGAUGCAAUUCACAUCAUCUGCAGUUUGGAGUGUGAGGAAAAAGACGAGUUGCUACUCGCCCUCAGUAGAGCCUUCCUCUCCCAGCAGCUUCGCAGGGGAGACAUGUACUAUUUGUGUGAUCUUGUCUUCGUAUGGAGUAAACUACACAGUCGGUUGAAUACAUCCAAGAACGCUCUACUUGGGGAGAGUCAUCAGCUGAUGCUGUCUGCGACCAAUGUCAACUCAAUCUUCCCAUUCAUCAGAGCCAUACUGCAAGAGCUGGGUGAAGAUGGUAUCCAGUUCUGCGUGGAGCUUUGUGCCAAUGCUCUGGGAUCUUGCCUUCCCUGCGACGUCAUCACAAAGUCCCUAAUCUACAAAACAAUAGCCGGCCUGCUACCCAAUGACCUGGAGGUUUGCCGGGCCUGUGCUCUUCUCGUGUUCUUCCUCGAACGCACUGUUGAGGCCUACAAGAUGGUGUACCUUCUUUACAUGCUUCCGGAUCAGGAGUACCACGUGGAGGAAAGCCCCAUUAGAAAUCAUGUUCGCUUUGAAACCCUGCAGGUCUUGAAGAAGGACUUGUAUUUUGACCCAGAGUUUUGGAACCUCAUUGCUUUGCGGACCAACUGUUUGAAGCUGAUGAGUGAGAAGGUGGUUAGUGGUGCCCUGGAAGAAAUCAUGGAGGACAAAUGGAUCCUGAGCUACUGCACCAAAGAAGCUGCUUCCCGAUUAAGCACGCCAGUAUGCCAGAAAGGAAGUAAGGGGACAGCAGCUAAAAAGCGGCACCAUAAAGAGGACAGACAUCAUAAAAAUGAUACUGACACUGUAUCCAAGAGAUUAAAGGUGGGUCCAGGCAAAACACGGCCUAAUGUUGACCCCACUGUAAAGAAGAAAGGCAACCGAGGGUCAUCAUCAGCUGAACCUUUGAGGCGUUCAUUUUGGCAGCUAGACAGGCUACAGGACAGUGUAGCCGUUAGGCACGGGGAACUUAAACGCACUACACGACUCUCUGAGAAGAACCCACCGAAACGGAGGAUUAGAAAACCCAAGUGGCUUCUGGAAGACUCAGGAAAUCUUGGAGAGAAUAAUGUUCUUCCGAAGAUCAAAAAGCAUGGGUUGAAACAUCAAAAGCAUCAUGGAUCCUCUGUCGUAAAGAGGUCUGAAACGGGGGAGCUUAAGAACAAUGCAAAACACAAACCUUCAGUAAACUCUCAUUUAAUGGCAAGGAAAAACAACGGCAAGCACCAGAAAGGGUUUUUGCUGGGCCCUCUAAAACCAGCCCCCCCGCCACAAGUGAUUCUUGAGCUCUCCCUGCCAGACAACGAACUGAUGGGAACGUUUACGGAGGACACUUUGAACAGACAGAGAGGUUUACCUCAAGUGCUUCUUUACAGACCUACGGUAAAGGUUCCUGCCGCAUCACAACCGGUGAAGACUGUGCAGCGCAAAGAGGUGGUUCUUAGAGCGCGGGAUGCAGCUAUGUUUGUACAACAGUUGCACGGUUAUGCUCGGCUGCAGAAAGGAAAAGGUAAUAGGCUGAACGUUCAAGGCUCAGUAUCAACCAUCACACGCUCAUCUGUGCAAGGAAGUCCUCCAAAAGAGCCACACAGAAAGCUCUGUAAAAAGCCUGCCGCUGAGAUGAAAGGUGGAAUUACCUCUCAGACACCGGCAGCUGAAGUUACACAAUCCCCAGCUUUAGAAACCGUCCUUCAAGUUCAAACUAAGAAACCAGUCUCACGAAAGACAUUUUCAGGCGGAGAGCUCUCCCAACAGUCUGCUGCAGAGAUGGAAGCUACCAGUGUGUCAAAGACAUUAGCAGCAACUGAAGCUUCAGCAGAGAAACUCUGUGAAGAGUCUGCUGUUGAGAUGAAAGUCACUAUUGCCUCAAAAGCGGCUAAAGUGACUCAAUCCCCAGGUUUAGAUAAGGUCUCCAAAGAUCAAACCGUUAAAGACUCUUCAAAAACCACAACUUCAGCUGAGGACAACAGUCAGAUGGUAGUUACUGAUAACAUCCCUCCAGUCUCAAUUAUGGCCGACAUUUCAAACAUUGGAUCUUUUGAUCCCGCAUCCUCACAGUCUCAAGAUGUUCUUAGAGAUGGAAAACAAGAUCUGAAGUCACUCUCUUCUCAGGCUGAAACGGCCAGAAAUCUUGUGGCGCAAGAAAAAGCAGACAUCCCAGAGGUGCUCACCACUGUAGGCAACAACAUUUCUGAGGUGGAUGUCCCAGAUGUUUUCCACAAACUCUCAAAAGGAUAUAUACCUCGUCAAAAUGACACAAGCGGAGGAACAAUGGUCAUUACUAAUACACCUACAGAUCAGGACAGUAUUAAUAACAUAUCUGCUCUGACAUUAGUAACAGAAAUGGUUACUGAACUUGCACCUGUGGCAGUUGAUCUGGAGAAUCACAAACUGCUGGCUCCAGAGUACAGUUCCUCCAAGGAGUCUACAGCUGGAAGUAAGUCUACAGCUGGAAGUAAGUCUACAGCUGGAAGUAAGUCUACAGCUGGAAGUAAGUCUACAGCUGGAAGUAAGUCUACAGCUGGAAGUAAGUCUACAGCUGGAAGUAAGUCUACAGCUGGAAAUUCCUCGCAAGUUCCUCACAAAUUGCGCACUGCCUCCAGCUGCUCUGUAGUUGCUGAUGUGCAAGGGAAGGAAGAGGGACCUCAGGAUAUUGGUCCAGAGACGCCCGAGAACAGUAAACUAAUAGAAUCCGAGGAAUCCAAGUUGGAGUACUGCUGUACAUUCUGUAACAAGGUCUUUAAGGGAAGUCGGGUUGUAGCACAUGCUAUGUUCCAUUAUCGUAAAGAUGAGUGCAUGUUCUGUAGGACGAUGUUCAAAGAUGACCUCCUGGCCAUGAUGCACCUUUCUGACCAUAUUGAGAAGCUAAAGAGGAGCAAAGAGUCCGCUGGUAAUACCCAAGAAAACUGGGUCUCUGAGACCAAAGAUAUCGCCACACCUAAGACCUCUGCCAAAGCUAAGACCACAAACGUGUCUUCUGGGUGCUGUAGUAGUGGGAGAACAAGGCAGUCUACUGACUGUCUUAAAUUAAUAAGCCUUCCAGAUUCAACACCAUCUGGCUCCAGAAAGUUAAGAUCCAACGACAAGCCAGUGGAUUGUCCGUCUUUACAUGAAAAGAAACAAAACGUGUCCAAGCACCUUAAUAAUAAAACUCCUGUUCACAAGGUAAAUGGGCAUAUUUGCAAGAAGAAAAGGCUCGGCAGACCGAGAAAGGACACCUUGAGCUCAGAAGCUAAGCAGCCACUUAUAAAGGAGGAGCUCUCUCAAGUAAGAUCAAAUGAUGAAGUGGAGAAUCCCAGGUUGCAACAAAAACAAGAUAUAGAGAUGGGUUCCUCUGCAACAUCAGCACAGGUAGACAAAAAGUUGGGCUGUUUGACUGAAGAUAAAAUGAAGGAGACAAAAUCUGUGCAGGUCCUGAAGACGGCCCCAAAACACAUUGGGAAAGUUGUCGAGGAGAAAAACGCGGAGCCACAAGAGAGAGUCUGCUGUCCUGUGGAGGGUUGCGCCUGGAUUACAGACCUGUCAAAAAACCGUGUUGCACUCCUCUACCAUGCUCUUGAAGAUCACUGCGGUGAAGUCAAACCUUUAGAACUGGCGUUCCGUGUGGCAAACAGCAAAUGUAGUAGUUGCAUGAGGGUUAUGUGGAGUUUCGAUCAUUUUCAGCACCACGUUGAAAGACACAGACUCACUCCGCGGCAUCCUUGCCUUCAUCAGGGUUGCACUGCCCGGUUCAAAACUGGGAUGGAAAUGAGACGCCAUGCCAGGAGGCACAGUCCGCUGCAGGCAGUGUGCUGCCGCCCUGGUUGUUCUCAACUAUUUAUUUGUCUCUGGGCACUGAACCUUCAUGAAAGAGAGCACUAUGCUUCCCAACCCACUAAACCAGACAAGAACACAAAUCCGCAAACGGGUGACAAACGCGAUAACACGCCGGGCGGUAAGAAACAACCAGAUCAUAGGCCACAAGAUGCAACCGCUGCCACUACUGUAAAUAAGACUGCGAGUGUAAAGGCUGCUCAUAAGUUAAGAGGAGAAGCCUUGCAUAACUCGUCACCUGGGAAACCUGUUCAGGCUCCUUCUCCCUCCACUGUCGGCUCACCUCUGUUGAAAGAGAGAAAUGCGACCAAGGAUUCACACGUCUUAAAGAAUCUUUCUAACAAGGACACCUCCACACAGCCCACUGGCCCUAAUCUGAGAUUAAGGCAAACGUUAAGAAAAGACAAAGUAACAAAUACAACCGCAAGUCACAAAGUCAUCUCGUCGUCGUUGUUAAAACACAAUAUCAAAGUAAGACAUAAGUUGAAGAAAAAGCAGGUCAAAGUAAACACAAAAGGUCCUAAAAGGAGAGGGCGUCCUCCUAAGUCAAAGGAAGCUGUGCAUGAUGAAAACACUACUACUGGUCAAAACGAUCAAGCUGUCGUAGAAAAAACGGCACCGCUUGCGAGCCCCACUAAAGUAGCAGAGACCUCGAAUGUGAGCAACGAGUCAAAAGAAGAAGAAAAGAGUCAGCCGGUCCAAGAUGUAGUCACAAGUACGGAAACAUCAAUCGAUGAAUCAAAGUCUAAGAAGUCAACGAUCAAGCAGACGAAGAAGAAAUUGGUUAAACAAAAGGGCAUUUCUCAUGCCUCCAUGACCGCUAACAGCUUAAAUCAAUCAGUCAGCACCACCUCAGCAGACAAAACACACAAGUUGACAGCUGACAAAAUGAAGAAGCUGCAUAAAGUGAAAAAACGCUCCGCUCCUAAAGAGAACAGUAGUCAAACUGCUUCUUCAGAUUCCAGCAAGUCGAAAAGGAAUAAGGUUACAAAUGGCAAAGCCAACGCAAAGAUUGUCAAGAAAAGAUUUCCUCUCAAAGAACCAGAGUCCAUAUCUGAUGUCCAGCAAGUUGAGGCCAAGGCAUCGGCAGGAGUAGAAAGGUCUGCGGAUGAGGAGGGAAGAGCAAAGACAGAAAACACAGACUCGACACAAAGCCGCUCUGGUAAAUCUGUGUCUGCUGUCCCGGCUAACACCUCGGAGAAAACGCAGAAGGUGACAAAAGAAGAACAAUCUAAGAAAUCACAUGUGAAAAAAGAAGGAAGGAAAGAAAAGAGUAGUCGCAGUGCUCCUUCAGACUCAGGCAAGACCAAUAAGAAGAACAAACAUAUUAAUAAAAAAGGGGACAUAAAAACGCUCGAGGAAAGAAGGCCGUGCAAAGAUGCAAGCACAGCCUCUGCUUUGAAAAAGAGAGCCAAGUCUGAAUCAGUAGACCAACGGGUUGAGGCUAAAGCAGCGGCAAUAGAAAGCUCGCCUGACGUGGAAGGAAAAGCAAAAGAAGGACCAACGGAUACAACACACGACAGCUCUGGCUCUCUCAUCCCUGCCGCCAAAUCCAAGAAACCUCACGUCACGAAAAACUCCGACCCCAGCAAGGCAAAUAAGAAGCGCAAGAAUGUUCAUAAGGAAGGUGACCCAGAGAUUGUCAGGAAGAAAUGCAAAGGCCAGGGGGCUUCAUCAGCACCUAGGAAGCCUGAACAGUCCAAAAUCCAACCGCUCGCUGAGGGGAAAGCCGAGGUAGCGGGGAGCGCUGCAGGCGAGGAGGGAGAAACGUCAGCGGAAACGCCGCAGUCUACAAUUGGCGGGUCGGGUUACUCUGUAGUGACCAACGGGCAAGCAACGAGAGAGGAUGUCGAAUCUACGGUGUUUAAGAACGCUCUGGAAGAGUAUAGCAAGAGGCCGUUCAUGCGCCUGCCACCCACAGCGUACCUGGACGAGAAGUACAUUACCAUGCCAAAACGAAGGAAGGCGCUGUCGUCUUUCCAGUCGUCUCCGAAGAGCCCCCCCUCUCCUCAGCAGACCCACGUUACGACGGCUCGGCAGAGACAGCGGUGCGCCAACUGUUUUGCUACUUUCGACGGCGCCGAGGAUCUGCAGAGCCAUCUCCAACUGCAGAAGUGCUCAAACAUCUUUGGAUUUGACUCUGAUGACGAGGGCAACAGUUGAACAUGUCUAAAGUCUAAGUGAAUUGACAUUUUGGAUGCAUAAUAUACUGACCUGCGUGGAGCCCACCGGAGGAAUCCUAACACAACAGAUCCAUGCUAUCUGGAUGACAUCUGGAGCCUGAGAACUGAAAGGGAUACCUGACUUUGACUGCAGCACGUGCCUGUAGGACCGGUCGGAACACACGAAAACGGCCGAUCGACAAAAGACAACCGCACUGAAUCCCAGUCCGACCGUUGGCCGAACAGCUAGUACUGAAGUGCCUGCUCUGGAACCACCGUGCUGUUUCCAGCUGCUUCACCUGGUAUGGAGAUUAGGAAUUGUGGCUUAAAGACUGGACUCUUGAAAGCUGUGAAAAAAAACAAAAAAAAACACUCGAGCCAGACGACAAGGCUGCUCCAGCUAUCACUAGGAUACAUAAUUUUUCACAUCAGUAAGCCAUAUAAUGCCAUUAUUUGCUUUUUUUGCACUCUUCUCAUACGAUUUAUCAAUUUCUUUCUGCUUAAACUCAAAGUGAUGGGGAUUGUGAAAUGAAUGAAGCAUCUUACGAGUCAUGCUAUUUUAACAUCCUGAGGUUGCGUAUGAUUUUCUUACAUUUGCAAAGUUGUAAGAUUGCUGUAUCACAGUCUUCUUUGGGAUAAUGUUAUGUAUAACUCUUGUUUAAAUACUAAUUGUAUUUCUUACAUCCCUAUGGGGUUGAUUAGGUAUGUGCUUGUCCUCACCAUGAGUAACCAGUAGGGAGCAGUGUGCACCAAUCUCUUUAGGUUAACAGAUUGUUUUUUUUUUUUUCUUGCAAAACAUAAGAUAUUAUUUGCUCAGUUUUGCAACAGAAGGAUUUCUACAUACAAAUGCUGCUCCACUGUAUUUUAUCACUGGAUGGACUCAAGAAAUGGCUUCAGUUCCUGCAACCAACCACAAAAUGUGCCAGUAUCCCGCUGAUAUUUUUGCUGGGUUCUGUCACCGAUCAUGUUCUGUUAAUUAUUUGCUGUCAGUGGAGCAGCUGACAUCCUUGCUUAUAUUUUCUCACUUAAACAUAGAUUUUUAUCUACUGAACUUGUCCAAGACCAUAGAAAGAAACAUUGUGAUUUCUCUUUUAGGUCGAAUGUUCUUUCCUUCAAAGAGAACGUCAUAAACAACCAGUUUCUAAGUGUUACCAGGAGACCUCAUCAGUCUUUCAUGAUCAGCGGCAGGUUAUAUUUAUUUAAGUUUUUUUUUUUUUAAAUCUUUUUGUAAAUAUAUGAAGAGUUUCAGUGGCUUAUUAUAAAAGGGGAUGUCGGAGCUGGGUUUAUAUUUUGUUCUUGAAGUAAAAAAUAAAACUUAUUUCGAAUGGCAUCUGUUCAGUUUGCCGUUAACAAUGAUGUCCAAUACACCAGAGAAUUGCGUGUUUUCAUCAGAGGAGGAAUGAGCAGUUUAUAUCCAAAAGGAGAAGGUAAAAUGAUUCAGUGCACUGGCAACAGAUAAGACACAGCAGUAUUGGAGAGUGGGCCGCAGAGGAAGAGAGAAUGUUGACUUAUGUAGACUGAUCACUCGCAAGAUAAAUCCUCACUUUUUGCCAACCUUUGGCUUGUGUUAUACUAGAGUUUGAAAUCCCAACAGGUGAAACUACUUAAAAGCUAAAACUAAAAAGGGGAACUGAAUUGCCAAUCAUGACCAACCUAGCAAUGAAAGGUUCAAAGUUUUGGAAGCCUUUAUUUUUGAUAUAUUUGAAUUGCAUUUUCAUGAUUUGAAAAGGAGCUGAACCUCCACCAGCUGUAGCCUCGGCCUCAGACUCCCACUACCUGAAAACUUCGUGGACUAUUUCAGGGUACAUUUCUGCCAACGUGAGCACAUGCAGAGUAUAAUGUAUUGAUGCAGCACAGUCCAUGUUCACACAUGUUGUACAAAAAAGCAGACCGGGAUUAAAUAAGUUUCCGGUAGCUGAGGCUACAGCUCAUCCAUUAACCAGUGUAAUCAGCUAAUGAUGCAGACAGAUCAGACAGUCAGGUAAUGAGGCAGACGAUCACGUGGGCCAGACAGAAAGGCAAUCUCUGUUUUCUCUCUGAGUCAAUAUUGUUUAUUGUGGUAGAUGCAGACAGAGGGAGAGAGAGAGAGAGACUGCCCAAGAGGAGGGAGAAGAAGAAACAGGAGACUACAGGAAGAGUCAAGUUCCCACCCAGAGGCCUCUUGGGUCAGAGGGAGGUUGAUCUCUUGCGUGCCGGCUGUGGGAACCGCGACACGCAGCUGAGACCCGCAGUUGAAUGUCUUGGACCCCCCCCCCAUGUCCAUAAAAGGCCAUAUGGAAACAUACUCCCAGGGCAAAGACUAGCGAAGGCCCCCCCAAGGGCUGACCGGCCUGAGCACAGCAGGACAGGACCAGUGCACUCCGU
RNA transcript from Perca flavescens (yellow perch), 9221 nucleotides. RefSeq lists it as uncharacterized. The transcript has 12 exons. The record is from RefSeq and is a predicted model, not a curated record. NCBI's taxonomy places the organism in Eukaryota, Metazoa, Chordata, Actinopteri, Perciformes, Percidae.